This 165-nucleotide non-coding RNA is filed under the name uncultured Lachnospira sp. The record is from RNAcentral. Lineage: Bacteria; Bacillati; Bacillota; Clostridia; Lachnospirales; Lachnospiraceae.
CAUCGUGAGGUGGAAUCUGAAGGAAGCUAGAGGCAAAUCUCUGGUCUGACGUACAGAAAUCACAUCAGGCAAUAUUUAAGGAUAAGGUUGCCAUACAAACCGAAUUCCAAUAACUACUCGGAAUUAACUAUUGUAAAUGUGGCAGAUAUAUUGAGAGAAAGAAAC